Molecule: ribosomal RNA, 632 nt
Filed under: bacterium 33_xplvp322
Lineage: Bacteria
Also listed under: 1 other name
Description: bacterial SSU rRNA
Rfam family: Bacterial small subunit ribosomal RNA
Source: RNAcentral
UACACAUGCAGUCGAACGGCAGCGCGGGGCAACCUGGCGGCGAGUGGCGAACGGGUGAGUAAUAUAUCGGAACGUACCCUGGAGUGGGGGAUAACGUAGCGAAAGUUACGCUAAUACCGCANACGAUCUAAGGAUGAAAGUGGGGGAUCGCAAGACCUCAUGCUCCUGGAGCGGCCGAUNUCUGAUUANGUAGUUGGUGGGGUAAAGGCCCACCAAGGCUUCGAUCAGUAGCUGGUCUGAGAGGACGACCAGCCACACUGGAACUGAGACACGGUCCAGACUCCUACGGGAGGCAGCAGUGGGGAAUUUUGGACAAUGGGCGCAAGCCUGAUCCAGCAAUGCCGCGUGAGUGAAGAAGGCCUUCGGGUUGUAAAGCUCUUUUGUCAGGGAAGAAACGGUGAGGGCUAAUAUCCCUUGCUAAUGACGGUACCUGAAGAAUAAGCACCGGCUAACUACGUGCCAGCAGCCGCGGUAAUACGUAGGGUGCAAGCGUUAAUCGGAAUUACUGGGCGUAAAGCGUGCGCAGGCGGUUUUGUAAGUUUGUCGUGAAAGCCCCGGGCUCAACCUGGGAAUUGCGAUGAAGACUGCAAGGCUUGAAUCUGGCAGAGGGGGGUAGAAUUCCACGUGUAGCA